RNAcentral lists this ribosomal RNA (496 nucleotides) under uncultured bacterium. RNAcentral's name for it is "partial 16S ribosomal RNA". It matches the Rfam family "Bacterial small subunit ribosomal RNA", at positions 29 to 507 of the family's 1533-position model. The record is from RNAcentral.
AUGAACGCUGGCGGCGUGCCUAAUACAUGCAAGUCGAGCGAACAGACGAGGGGCUUGCUCCUCUGACGUUAGCGGCGGACGGGUGAGUAACACGUGGAUAACCUACCUAUAAGACUGGGAUAACUUCGGGAAACCGGAGCUAAUACCGGAUAAUAUAUUGAACCGCAUGGUUCAAUAGUGAAAGACGGUUUUGCUGUCACUUAUAGAUGGAUCCGCGCCGCAUUAGCUAGUUGGUAAGGUAACGGCUUACCAAGGCGACGAUGCGUAGCCGACCUGAGAGGGUGAUCGGCCACACUGGAACUGAGACACGGUCCAGACGCCUACGGGAGGCAGCAGUAGGGAAUCUUCCGCAAUGGGCGAAAGCCUGACGGAGCAACGCCGCGUGAGUGAUGAAGGUCUUCGGAUCGUAAAACUCUGUUAUUAGGGAAGAACAAAUGUGUAAGUAACUAUGCACGUCUUGACGGUACCUAAUCAGAAAGCCACGGCUAACUACGUG